RNAcentral lists this non-coding RNA (134 nucleotides) under Fukomys damarensis (Damara mole-rat). RNAcentral's name for it is "Eukaryotic large subunit ribosomal RNA". It matches the Rfam family "Eukaryotic large subunit ribosomal RNA", at positions 1200 to 1333 of the family's 3401-position model. The record is from Rfam by way of RNAcentral. Lineage: Eukaryota; Metazoa; Chordata; Mammalia; Rodentia; Bathyergidae.
CAGAUCCAGACCCCAGAAAAGGUGUUGGGUGAUACAGACAGCAGGAUGGUGGCUGUGGAAGUCAGAACCCACUAAGGAGUGUGUAACAACUCAACUGCCCAAUCAACCAGCCCUGAAAAUGGAUGGCGCUGGAG